UACGUAGGUGGCAAGCGUUAUCCGGAAUUAUUGGGCGUAAAGCGCGCGCAGGCGGUUUCUUAAGUCUGAUGUGAAAGCCCACGGCUCGACCGUGGAGGGUCAUUGGAAACUGGGGAACUUGAGUGCAGAAGAGAAAAGCGGAAUUCCACGUGUAGCGGUGAAAUGCGUAGAGAUGUGGAGGAUCACCAGUGGCGAAGGCGACUUUCUGGUCUGUAACUGACACUGAGGCGCGAAAGCGUGGGGAGCAAACAGG
RNAcentral lists this unclassified non-coding RNA (253 nucleotides) under uncultured Bacillaceae bacterium. Its description in RNAcentral is "contains 16S-23S intergenic spacer region". It matches the Rfam family "Bacterial small subunit ribosomal RNA", at positions 524 to 776 of the family's 1533-position model. Lineage: Bacteria; Bacillati; Bacillota; Bacilli; Caryophanales; Bacillaceae. The record is from RNAcentral.